Molecule: ribosomal RNA, 390 nt
Filed under: uncultured bacterium
Lineage: Bacteria
Description: bacterial SSU rRNA
Rfam family: Bacterial small subunit ribosomal RNA
Source: RNAcentral
ACGAACGCUGGCGGCGUGCUUAACACAUGCAAGUCGAGCGGUAAGGCCCUUUCGGGGGUACACGAGCGGCGAACGGGUGAGUAACACGUGGGUGACCUGCCCUCAGCUCUGGGAUAAGCCUGGGAAACCGGGUCUAAUACUGGAUAUGACUCCAUGACGCAUGUUGUGGGGUGGAAAGCCUUGUGCGGCUGAGGAUGGGCCCGCGGCCUAUCAGCUUGUUGGUGGGGUGANGGCCUACCAAGGCGACGACGGGUAGCCGGCCUGAGAGGGCGACCGGCCACACUGGGACUGAGACACGGCCCAGACUCCUACGGGAGGCAGCAGUGGGGAAUCUUGCGCAAUGGGCGAAAGCCUGACGCAGCGACGCCGCGUGAGGGAUGACGGCCUCGG